RNAcentral lists this ribosomal RNA (181 nucleotides) under Salmonella enterica. RNAcentral's name for it is "partial 16S ribosomal RNA". It matches the Rfam family "Bacterial small subunit ribosomal RNA", at positions 1 to 177 of the family's 1533-position model. Lineage: Bacteria; Pseudomonadati; Pseudomonadota; Gammaproteobacteria; Enterobacterales; Enterobacteriaceae. The record is from RNAcentral.
AAAUUGAAGAGUUUGAUCAUGGCUCAGAUUGAACGCUGGCGGCAGGCCUAACACAUGCAAGUCGAACGGUAGCACAGAGAGCUUGCUCUCGGGUGACGAGUGGCGGACGGGUGAGUAAUGUCUGGGAAACUGCCUGAUGGAGGGGGAUAACUACUGGAAACGGUGGCUAAUACCGCAUAAC